CCUACGGGUGGCUGCAGUGAGGAAUAUUGGUCAAUGGACGAGAGUCUGAACCAGCCAAGUAGCGUGAAGGAUGACUGCCCUAUGGGUUGUAAACUUCUUUUAUAUGGGAAUAAAACGUUCCACGUGUGGGAUUUUGUAUGUACCUUAUGAAUAAGGAUCGGCUAACUCCGUGCCAGCAGCCGCGGUAAUACGGGGGAUCCGAGCGUUAUCCGGAUUUAUUGGGUUUAAAGGGAGCGUAGGUGGAUUGUUAAGUCAGUUGUGAAAGUUUGCGGCUCAACCGUAAAAUUGCAGUUGAAACUGGCAGUCUUGAGUACAGUAGAGGUAGGCGGAAUUCGGGGUGUAGCGGUGAAAUGCUUAGAUAUCACGAAGAACUCCGAUUGCGAAGGCAGUUCACUGGACUGCAACUGACACUGAGGCUCGAAAGUGUGGGUAUCAAACAGGAUUAGAUACCCUGGUAGUC
RNAcentral lists this ribosomal RNA (460 nucleotides) under uncultured bacterium. Its description in RNAcentral is "partial 16S ribosomal RNA". It matches the Rfam family "Bacterial small subunit ribosomal RNA", at positions 338 to 795 of the family's 1533-position model. The record is from RNAcentral.